This 2968-nucleotide unclassified non-coding RNA is filed under the name Leptinotarsa decemlineata (Colorado potato beetle). Its description in RNAcentral is "polycomb protein Pcl, transcript variant X2". Lineage: Eukaryota; Metazoa; Arthropoda; Insecta; Coleoptera; Chrysomelidae. The record is from RNAcentral.
UAAGUGUCAAAAAUGUCGUUGGAUUUAAAUUACUUAUAAUUUUAUUACAAUUAUUUUAGUACAUCAAUGAAAAUAUCACUUACGUGACAAUGGUGAAGCAAUUGAGAUAAUAUACAAAUAUACAAUCCAAUUAAUUAUGGAAAUUGAGAGAAAAUCAAAGUAUUUUUGUGUUUAGGUAACUUUGGCGGGUUUUAUACAAACAAUAGUUUAAUGGCCGCAAAUGUAUAGGGUUCGGAUGGAGUUGUGUCAAGAUCGAAGACGCUACGAAUAUUGUAGUAAAAGUCUCGUCUGGUUCUCACCUCAAAAAUGACGUCUGCAAAUAGUCUAACAAAUCCGUUGAAGAAAAACAUUCUUCAACAACAAACUGCAGUUCCUGAUAGCACAACCUCUGUAGAAAAAGAAAUGUCCGAGUUUUCGAUUGGACAGGAUGUUCUUGUGAAACAAAAAGAUGAGAGGUAUUAUUUUGGAACUGUUGUCCAAGUUAAUAGCAUAAGAGAGCAGUGUUUGGUGAAAUUUGGAGACAAUACUUACAAUUGGUCUACUUAUAAGGACCUAACAAAGUUGAGUACUCCAGAACAGGAAGAUUUAUUGUGUGUUGUAUGCAAAAAAUCGGCUCCCAAGAAAGAGCAAGAAAUUACUGUUUGUGAUCAAUGUGGUAGGGGAUACCAUCAGAAAUGUCAUCAGCCAGAAAUACCUAUUAGCUGCCAAAAGGAGGGUGCUACAUGGAUGUGUAAAAGAUGUGUUGAAAAUGACCCAAACAGACUGAGGAAAAGUGAUCUAAAACACCAACGAAGAGAUUCUUUGCGAAACUUCUCAUCUUCAUGCAAUCAAGAAAUCCAAGUGAUGCCUUCUUCCACAGUAAAAGUAUUUCCCUAUGAUCUAAACACGCUGAACUGGGAUACAUAUCAUAGAGUAAAUAGUGAACAAAUCUAUUGUUACUGUGGAGGUAACGGAGAGUGGUAUAAACAGAUGUUACAGUGUGGAAGAUGUAGACAGUGGUUUCAUGAAGGGUGUCUCGAUUUCCUGCAGUAUCCAUUAUACUGUGGUGAUAGGUUCUAUGUAUUUGUAUGUUCGAUAUGCAAUCAUGGAAAAGAUUUUCUGAGGAGGUUAGAGAUGAAAUGGGUGGAUCUGGUACAUUUAAUGAUAUUUAAUUUAACCGCAUAUAACUCCAAAAAGUAUUAUGAUUUGGAUACUGUCGUCAUUCCUUAUAUUAAUGAUAAUUGGCAUGCACUACAGCUACCACCAAAGAUUGCAAAUGUAACUAAGUCUGAAAGAAGAGAGAAUAUUAUGUCUGUCCUAACAAAUAAUCGUAACCGUUUCAAAUGCGGGAGAGAAAUUAAAAAACGUACUACUAUUUGGGGAUUACGGGUUCGUCUUCCCCCACCAGCGCCAUGCAUUACUCUUCCCCAAACUGGUCCAGUCACCGAAGAAGAUUUGCAGGAACUGUGGCAAGGAAAUAAAAGACUGCAGUUUUUGAGUUUAGAUAAAAAUGCCCCCGUUAAGAGAAUAGUUGCGUCUGAUACGCAAAUGAAAAAUAUCAUGAUGGGAGUUUCCUAUCAGCAAAAUACUGGGCAUUCGGAAACAGACUCACCUUGUCCCAGCCCAGAAAUUGCUGUUGAAGAACCAGUAAUUGAAAAUAACAUUGAUAAUAUAGUACAAAAAAGAAGUUAUAUAGGUGCUGGAUGUGCCAAAAAGAGUGUACCUUUCAAAAAAAUGAGCCUGCAAAGAAGAAAAAAGUUGCUGGCCUUGAGCAGCAGAGAAAGAGAUAGGAUUUUGAAAAGACCCAAGAAACGGAAAAUCUGCGAGGAAAAUUCAAAUGCCUCUAAAGAAGGACACAUGAAAAGACUUAGUUUAGAUAGUAAAAAUAAUAAAAGUAACGAAACACUGCCACCGACUCCCCCGACAUCUGUAAGUGCACCUCCGACACCACCUGCUUCUACAUCUUUAAUAUCAGAGUUGAGUAAUGAUUUCUCAGAAAGCUCUAAUAACCAAACCAAAGUAACUAGUUCCAGAAAAUCUAAUUUAUUGGAAUUAAACUCUGAACUGAAUACCCCUUGUGAUACGUCGGGGGAUGAAACCAGUUCCAAGAGUACCUUGGAUACAAUAAUUCCCCCUCCAAAAGAUUUUGAAGGAAAGAACAAUCCGUUCUUGGCAUUGUUGAGAGUUGUGUCCGAGGAUGCAAAUCAGAAAAGUAAAAGGAAGAGCAAAGAUAUUACCCUUCCUUUACCCCUGACAGCUGUGAUACCCGGAAAGCCAGUGAUGAGACCUAUGAAGAGGCAGUUGAGUGAGAAGGAUAUAGUUAUCGGCCCAAAUGGACAAGUUAAAAGGAAACGAUUUCGUAGGGGCAGGAACCCCAAUAUUAACUAUUCCAGUGGUCAGACAGCUAGUAAAUCUGCUGCUGUGGUGCCUGUAAAACCUGACAAAGAGUGGAACCAGAGGACAAGUAGCUCACCAAAUAGUACCAAUCUUGGUAAUUGUGUGGAUUAUGCCUUUAACGGGCGGCGGUUGCGACAGAGACCUGAGAAGCCUCAAGAAAAAGACAAAAUCUCCAAUCCACCAACUCCAAAACCCAGCCCUGUCAAACAGGAACCUGACAUCAGUAUGGACGAUCUCAAAAGUUCCGUUAAUAUUUAUUUUGGAGCUGCGAAUCGUAUUGCAACAGGAGAAAGAUUCGUGGUGAAAGCCAAAAGAAUUGGACCCAAUGGUAAAAUGGACUAUUUGAUAGAAUGGGAGGGGCCUAGUACAGGAAUGACUUGAUGAGCAUGCAUUAUUUUGCUUAUCCUAUCCAUUGUAGUGCUUUGAGGCUGUUAGGGGGGCACAGAUUUUUUUUUAUUUCUUUCGGCUGUUCGAGGGAGUCUACUGCUCAAAAUCGUACAAAAUAUGUUAUAGAUUAUGGAUGUUGGAAACACUCGGAAAUAUCAUGAAACACAUUUAUUCGUAAAAAAUAUGUUAAAAAAUUUCAAGAGUU